This 422-nucleotide ribosomal RNA is filed under the name uncultured archaeon. Its description in RNAcentral is "partial 16S ribosomal RNA". It matches the Rfam family "Archaeal small subunit ribosomal RNA", at positions 323 to 746 of the family's 1478-position model. The record is from RNAcentral.
CUACGGGUGGCUCCAGGCGAGAAAACUUUGCAAUGUGCGAAAGCACGACAAGGUUAAUCCGAGUGGUUUGUGCUAAACGAACCUUUUGACAGUCCUAGAAACACUGUUGAAUAAGGGGUGGGCAAGUUCUGGUGUCAGCCGCCGCGGUAAAACCAGCACCUCAAGUGGUCAGGAUGAUUAUUGGGCCUAAAGCAUCCGUAGCCGGCUCUGUAAGUUUUCGGUUAAAUCUGUACGCUCAACGUACAGGCUGCCGGGAAUACUGCAGAGCUAGGGAGUGGGAGAGGUAGACGGUACUCGGUAGGAAGGGGUAAAAUCCUUUGAUCUAUUGAUGACCACCUGUGGCGAAGGCGGUCUACCAGAACACGUCCGACGGUGAGGGAUGAAAGCUGGGGGAGCAAACCGGAUUAGAUACCCUAGUAGUC